Molecule: long non-coding RNA, 481 nt
Organism: Brachypodium distachyon (stiff brome)
Lineage: Eukaryota; Viridiplantae; Streptophyta; Magnoliopsida; Poales; Poaceae
Exons: 2
Source: RefSeq, a predicted model, not a curated record
GAUCCCCAAAUCCCCUCCCCACUGGAGCCACACCGCUCCUCCUCCGCCGUCUCCGUCCAAAUAGUGAAGCUGCGAGUCCAAAUUUCUCGCCAUAUUUCCAGCGGCAGUGGCAAACUACACUAAUUGAAGCGUGGUCUCCGGACCAUCAGCUAAACAGGAUGUGUAGGAUUCAUUAUGUCCAUGCGAGUCUAGUGAGCAGCGGCCGUCGCAUGAAAUUAGCAUCUUGUAGAUACUAUGGCCUAAGUUCUCAAAGUGGAUUACAGUACUGAAAAUUUCCUUGUACAGCAAGGGAAGCUCCCAACAUAUUUGUAGUUUGUCUUAAGAUAUUUCAUCAGGAUCUGCUUAAAAUAUUUGAGGUACCUAGAUUGGUUUCUGCCACCAAUUUCUGUAGUCUCGGACCCUUUUGAGUUUAUUUAUUUAAGAAAAUAUCAAAAAUAGAUUCUUCUGAUGCAAUAUGUCAAUACAUUUGAGAAUCUUCUGA